CACAAUAUCCAACCAUAACCAACAUACAAGUCAUUAACCACUUUAGCACAUACUCCACACAUAACCCAUUCCUUCACCUUAAACCAUCCACCUCAAGUAACCCUUGGACAACACUUUGUGCAAUGUAUGGAUAGCGUCCCAUACCACCAUCCACACUAAAGCAUCAUCCUAAGGCCACCAAAUGUGAACUUACCACUUAUCAUGCUUCAUAUCACAAG
Molecule: long non-coding RNA, 218 nt
Filed under: Solanum tuberosum (potato)
Lineage: Eukaryota; Viridiplantae; Streptophyta; Magnoliopsida; Solanales; Solanaceae
Description: long non-coding RNA (STUB_LNC007920)
Source: RNAcentral